AGUUUGAUCCUGGCUCAGAUUGAACGCUGGCUGAUGCUUUACACAUGCAAGUCGAACGGCAGCACGGACUUCGGUCUGGUGGCGAGUGGCGAACGGGUGAGUAAUGUAUCGGAACGUGCCUAGUAGCGGGGGAUAAACGCGCGAAAGCGUAGCUAAUACCGCAUACCCCUUCGGGGAAAGCGGGGGACCUUCGGGCCUCGCACUAUUAGAGCGGCCGAUAUCGGAUUAGCUUAGUUGGUGGGGUAACGGCUCACAAGGCGACGAUCCGUAGCUGGUUUGAGAGGACGACCAGCCACACUGGGACUGGAGACACGGCCCAGACUCCUACGGGAGGCAGCAGUGGGGAAUUUUGGACAAUGGGAAACCCUGAUCCAGCCAUCCCGCGUGCGAUGAAGGCCUUCGGGUUGUAAAGCACUUUUGGCAGGAAAAAGAAACGGCACGGGAUAAUACCCCGUGCAACUGACGGUACCUUGCAGAAUAAGCACCUCGGCUAACUACGCCAGCAGCCGCGGUAAUACGCAGGGUGCAAGAACAGCUUAACUUUGAACUGCAUUUUUGUUCCACUGAGCUAGAGUGUGUCAGAGGGGAGGUGGAAUUCCGCGUGUAGCAGUGAAAUGCGUAGAUAUGCGGAGGAACACCGAUGGCGAAGGCAGCCUCCUGGGAUAACACCGACGCUCAUGCACGAAAGCGUGGGGAGCAAACAGGAUUAGAUACCCUGGUAGUCCACGCCCCAAACGAUGUCAACUAGUCUUCGUUGGGGCCUUCGGCCCGGUAGCGCAGCUUAACGCGUGGUUGACCGCCUGGGGAGUACGGUCGCAAGAUUAAAACUCCAAAGGAAUUGACGGGGACCCGCACAAGCGGUGGAUGAUGUGGAUUAAUUCGAUGCAACGCGAAAACCUUACCUACCCUUGAUAUGUCUGGAAUCCCGAAGAGAUUUGGGAGUGCUCGCAAGAGAACCGGAACACAGGUUGCAUGGCUGUCGUCAGCUCGUGUCGGGAUGUUGGGUUAAGUCCCAACGAGCGGCAACCCUUGUCAUUAGUUGCUACGAAAGUGUGUUCUUAAUGAGACUGCCGGUGACAAACCGGAGGAAGGUGGGGAUGACGUCAAGUCCUCAUGGCCCUUAUGGGUAGGGCUUCACACGUCAUACAAUGGUCGGGACAGAGGGUCGCCAACCCGCGAGGGGGAGCCAAUCCCAGAAACCCGAUCGUAGUCCGGAUCGCAGUCUGCAACUCGACUGCGUGAAGUCGGAAUCGCUAGUAAUCGGUGACGUGGCGUCGCGGUGAAAUACGUUCCCGGUCUUGUACACACCGCCCGGGUCACACCAUGGGAGUGGGUUUUACCAGAAGUAGUUAGCCUAACCUCGUAAGGAGGGCGAUUACCACGGUAGGAUUCAUGACUGGGGUGAAGUCGUAACAAGGU
RNAcentral lists this ribosomal RNA (1419 nucleotides) under uncultured Bordetella sp. RNAcentral's name for it is "partial 16S-23S ribosomal RNA intergenic spacer". It matches the Rfam family "Bacterial small subunit ribosomal RNA". Lineage: Bacteria; Pseudomonadati; Pseudomonadota; Betaproteobacteria; Burkholderiales; Alcaligenaceae. The record is from RNAcentral.